ACUCUCUGAUGAUUCAGAAGAUGGAAAAAAAUCAUUUCUGUUCACUCAAAUGAUUAUAGUUACAAAAGAAGAAAAUAGAAUAAGAAGUCAUGAGAAUCUUGAAACCCACUGAAACCAGAAGGCUUAUUUAAUUUUAUAUAAGGAAAAACUUCCAGAUGACAGUUUUCAAUCUCAGCAGUUGAUAGUUGUAGGAAUGACAGAACAGUUGGAGCAGUGAAGCUUUAAGCUAUUGUUCUUUUCCUUGGAGUAGCCUUGAAAGAAUGCAUUCACGCAAUUACCAAGGAUGAACAGUUUUUUAACAGAUGACUAAAAUUUAAUUUCUUUUUCAUCGACAUCAGUCGCCAAGAUAAAUAUCUUGAUUCUCAACUGCUUGUAGUCAUUUGCAAAUAUGGAGGGUGCAUACAGUCUGGCUAUCAAAGCAUCUCCCAGAUGGUUCUGUUUAUCCCACUUUUACACUCUCCAGUAUUGUACAGACUGACAGAAAAAAACUCUUUUAAAUAGCCACAGAACAAAAGAAAGAAAAGAAGAUGAGAGGAAAGGAUAAAAGAGUAUAACAAGAGCGGAUGACUGGCACGUACUGCAUCCAACCAGUUUCUCUUCAUUUCUACUUAUUUGCUGACUCCACUCAUGUGGACUCCAUGGAAAUUAUGUUUGGGAUCUAUUUUCAGCUGAAAAGGAGAGAGUUUUUCCUACCCAGAUAGCUGUGUUUACACUGCACUUGAAUAUUAUAAAACAACUUCAGAGCUGCAUCUGAGGUAGCUGGAACUUGCUUUUCAUACUGGAAUGUCAAAUGGUUGUUGCUGCCUCCUUCAUGAUCCAGACACUUUUGUGCAAAAGAUAUCUAUGAGCUAAGCAAAAAUUAGGUGGCACAACCUUCAGAGAUCCUUUUUGUAUAAUUGUGAUUGUAUAACUUGUACAAUUGUGAUUGAUCCUUGUAGUAAUUCUUUGUAUCUGAGAAUUACAUGGGCAUA
Molecule: long non-coding RNA, 971 nt
Organism: Corvus hawaiiensis (hawaiian crow)
Lineage: Eukaryota; Metazoa; Chordata; Aves; Passeriformes; Corvidae
Exons: 3
Source: RefSeq, a predicted model, not a curated record